CCUACGGGAGGCAGCAGUGAGGAAUAUUGGUCAAUGGACGAGAGUCUGAACCAGCCAAGUAGCGUGAAGGAUGACUGCCCUAUGGGUGGUAAACUUCUUUUAUAUGGGAAUAAAAUGUUCCACGUGUGGGCUUUUGUAUGUACCAUAUGAAUAAGGAUCGGCUAACUCCGUGCCAGCCGCCGAGGUAAUACGGUGGAUCCGAGCGUUAUCCGGAUUUAAUGAGUUUAAAGGGAGCGUAGGUGGGUUGUUAAGUAAGUUGUGAAAGUUUGCGGCUCAACCGUAAAAUUGCAGUUGAAACUGGCAGUCUUGAGUACAGUAGAGGUGGGCGGAAUUCGUGGUGUAGCGGUGAAAUGCGUAGAUAUCACGAAGAACUCCGAUGGCGAAGGCAGCUCACUGGACUGCAACUGACACUGAGGCGCGAAAGUGUGGGUAGCAAACAGGAUUAGAUACCCGAGUAGUC
Molecule: ribosomal RNA, 460 nt
Filed under: uncultured bacterium
Lineage: Bacteria
Description: partial 16S ribosomal RNA
Rfam family: Bacterial small subunit ribosomal RNA
Source: RNAcentral